This 1470-nucleotide long non-coding RNA is filed under the name Mus musculus (house mouse). RNAcentral's name for it is "predicted gene, 32568 (Gm32568)". The record is from RNAcentral. Lineage: Eukaryota; Metazoa; Chordata; Mammalia; Rodentia; Muridae.
GAUAUUGCAUAAGACUUUACUCUGCCUCAUUUAUCAGCUCCAUCCUCCCAGGUCUGCCUCUACAGCAGAACACCCUAGUCCUCAUUUAUUUCUUUGCUAAAAUGUAAUAUUUUCCAUUGGUGUUUUAAAAGUAAUUUCAUACCCCUUGCUAGAUAUAGUGGUUUAAAUGAAAAUGCCCCCCCCCCAUAGGCUCAUAGGGAGUGGCACUAUUAGAAGACUCUCAGCUACAUCUCCAGCACCAUGUCUACCUGUGUGCUGCCAUGCUUCUUGUCAUGAUGAAAAUGGACUAAACCUCUGAACCGCAACCAGGUCUUCUCCUUUGUGCUACAAAAAAAGUUUCAAACUGACCACAUAUGCAUCCUUCCUGGAGAAUCCAAAAACAGAAAGGUAAUUCAGUCCGGCCUCAGAGAAGAGAAUACUGGAGAAAGCCCGCCCUCUGCUGGUCGAGAGUUGGAGACGGCGCGUGUACAGUACAGAUCCUGCCACCUCCCACCCAGCAGUGCUGCAUCUGCCCUGCUCCCUCACCCUCUGAUUUAGCCUUCCCAGCAGCAUCUUGAAAGUACGACUGAACUCCCAACAGCUUAGUCCUUCCAGAUCCUGUCAUUUUUGUUUAGUAUUGAUUUUUAGCAAAGUCUGAUCGACUCUGUCACUUAUUUUUUUUUAAAAUUGUAGAAGUGUAACUUUAAUUUCUUCAAAGCCUAUUUAUAAUGAUGGUUCUUAAAUACUUUAACCCACCACCCACCAGAAAUAGUGGAAAAGAAAGGAUACAGAGAAGUGGACCUGUUUAGAAAUGGUUCUUUGGAGCAAAUCCUGUCUGUCUCGUGAGGAAAUCAGCAGCGGCAUCUCGAUCCACUCACAAAGACUUCAGAGAUAUACCAGUAGUCCAGUUCAGUGGUAUCAGGAUAGCAUCAGCAGUGGCAUAACCUAGCAGGAACAGCCAGGCCUCCAUUGAAUCGGCAAGAGUCCGCAGGAGGUAUUCAGACCAGCAGGGACACCAGGAGAAGUUCUCCACUAUGCCUCUCUUGACAAAGGGAAGAGCAGUGAAGACUGGAAACCAACAAGGGCUGCACAGCUGGCAUUACCAGCAAGGCUCAAGCUUAGCCAGGCCAAGCCUCCAGUUCCUCUCACAGUCCAGAGUCCUUUAAUACUUCCUCCAAGCAUUACAUGUCCUCCACGUGUCUUACCUCAGCAUGUGAGUCUGAAAAUACAGUGAGGCAGACCAAUACAUGUGUGCCAUUAUCGAACAAACCUUCAUCACAUGUCCUUUCAUGGGCUUGCUUUAGCAGAACAACCUUUAACAUGUGUCCACCUCAGUGAAACAUUCCUUCACGUGUUUGCCUCAGCAAAACACCAUCCAACACAACUGACUUUCCAAAGAAUUCUUAAGUUUCCACUUCAGAGAAGUCCUUUAUAUUUUCCUCAUAAAAUGAUUCUGUAUUAUAUCUGAAUAAAAUAGUAACUUUUCUUAUU